This 118-nucleotide ribosomal RNA is filed under the name Pteropus alecto (black flying fox). Lineage: Eukaryota; Metazoa; Chordata; Mammalia; Chiroptera; Pteropodidae. The record is from RNAcentral.
GUCUACGGCCAUGCCACCCUGAAAGUGCCCGAUCUUGUCUGAUCUCAGAAGCUAAGCAGGGUUGGCCUGGUUAGUACUUGGAUGGGAGACCACCCUGGAAUACCAGGUGCUUUAUUUU